UGGGGAAUAUUGCGCAAUGGGCGAAAGCCUGACGCAGCGACGCCGCGUGAGGGAUGAAGGUUUUCGGAUCGUAAACCUCUGUCAGAAGGGAAGAAACCGCACUGUGCUAAUCAGCAGUGCCUUGAAGGUACCUUCAAAGGAAGCACCGGCUAACUCCGUGCCAGCAGCCGCGGUAUACGGAGGGUGCAAGCGUUAAUCGGAAUUACUGGGCGUAAAGCGCACGUAGGCUGCUUUGUAAGUCAGGGGUGAAAUCCCACGGCUCAACCGUGGAACUGCCUUUGAUACUGCUUAGCUUGAAUCCGGGAGAGGGUGGCGGAAUUCCAGGUGUAGGAGUGAAAUCCGUAGAUAUCUGGAGGAACAUCAGUGGCGAAGGCGGCCACCUGGACCGGUAUUGACGCUGAGGUGCGAAAGCGUGGGGAGCAAACAGG
This 428-nucleotide ribosomal RNA is filed under the name Fusobacteriota bacterium. Its description in RNAcentral is "Fusobacteria bacterium partial 16S ribosomal RNA". It matches the Rfam family "Bacterial small subunit ribosomal RNA", at positions 355 to 776 of the family's 1533-position model. Lineage: Bacteria; Fusobacteriati; Fusobacteriota. The record is from RNAcentral.